CAAUCGUUGAGUCUUGAGUGUCGUCGAUUUGUUAAUCGUAAUGUCUAAUAUUGUAAAUUUGUAUGAAAGUAAUCAAUUAAAAUGCCUAAGCGAAGGUGUGCAUUUACUUGUAAAUGUAAUUUACUAAGUUAAAAAAUGAAUUUACAUUUUUAAGAGAUGGUAAUGAAAUUGGAAAGAUUUUAUGUACUGUAUGUAAAUCAGUUUUUCAAUAGAAAACGGUGGUCGUUCAGAUAUUACACAACAUGUUAAACAGAAGAAAUGUUUAUUGACCGUAUCAAGCAGUUCUUCAGAUAAGGUAACAAAUUUUUUCAUUAGUAAUGUACAGUCAACAAAAGCAAACGUAUUACGGCAGAAGAGGGUC
This is a non-coding RNA of Cinara cedri, 361 nucleotides long. The record is from the annotation of a GenBank genome assembly. Lineage: Eukaryota; Metazoa; Arthropoda; Insecta; Hemiptera; Aphididae.